RNAcentral lists this ribosomal RNA (437 nucleotides) under uncultured Rhodocyclaceae bacterium. Its description in RNAcentral is "bacterial SSU rRNA". It matches the Rfam family "Bacterial small subunit ribosomal RNA", at positions 945 to 1382 of the family's 1533-position model. Lineage: Bacteria; Pseudomonadati; Pseudomonadota; Betaproteobacteria; Rhodocyclales; Rhodocyclaceae. The record is from RNAcentral.
AUUAAUUCGAUGCAACGCGAAAACCUUACCUACCCUUGACAUGUCCGGAAUCCCGAAGAGAUUUGGGAGUGCUCGCAAGAGAGCCGGAACACAGGUGCUGCAUGGCUGUCGUCAGCUCGUGUCGUGAGAUGUUGGGUUAAGUCCCGCAACGAGCGCAACCCUUGUCAUUAGUUGCCAUCAUUUGGUUGGGCACUCUAAUGAGACUGCCGGUGACAAACCGGAGGAAGGUGGGGAUGACGUCAAGUCCUCAUGGCCCUUAUGGGUAGGGCUUCACACGUCAUACAAUGGUCGGUACAGAGGGUUGCCAACCCGCGAGGGGGAGCUAAUCCCACAAAGCCGAUCGUAGUCCGGAUCGCAGUCUGCAACUCGACUGCGUGAAGUCGGAAUCGCUAGUAAUCGUGGAUCAGCAUACUGCGGUGAAUACGUUCCCGGGUCUU